ACGCGGGGUGGAGCAGCUUGGUAGCUCGUCGGGCUCAUAACCCGAAGGUCGUUGGUUCAAAUCCGGCCCCCGCNNN
RNAcentral lists this transfer RNA (76 nucleotides) under Vibrio cholerae. RNAcentral describes it as "tRNA-Met(cat)". It matches the Rfam family "tRNA". Rfam says of the family: Transfer RNA (tRNA) molecules are approximately 80 nucleotides in length. Their secondary structure includes four short double-helical elements and three loops (D, anti-codon, and T loops). Lineage: Bacteria; Pseudomonadati; Pseudomonadota; Gammaproteobacteria; Vibrionales; Vibrionaceae. The record is from RNAcentral.